GCCCUUGUCGUCUAGCCCGGUCUAGGACAUCAGCUUUUCACGCUGGUAACUGGGGUUCGAAUCCCCACAGGGGUGCCA
RNAcentral lists this transfer RNA (78 nucleotides) under Planctomycetota bacterium. Its description in RNAcentral is "tRNA-Glu". It matches the Rfam family "tRNA". Rfam says of the family: Transfer RNA (tRNA) molecules are approximately 80 nucleotides in length. Their secondary structure includes four short double-helical elements and three loops (D, anti-codon, and T loops). Further hydrogen bonds mediate the characteristic L-shaped molecular structure. tRNAs have two regions of fundamental functional importance: the anti-codon, which is responsible for specific mRNA codon recognition, and the 3' end, to which the tRNAs corresponding amino acid is attached (by aminoacyl-tRNA synthetases). tRNAs cope with the degeneracy of the genetic code in two manners: having more than one tRNA (with a specific anti-codon) for a particular amino acid; and 'wobble' base-pairing, i.e. permitting non-standard base-pairing at the 3rd anti-codon position. Lineage: Bacteria; Pseudomonadati; Planctomycetota. RNAcentral also lists the same sequence under 1 other name. The record is from RNAcentral.